UACGUAGGAUGCAAGCGUUGUCCGGAUUUAUUGGGUUUAAAGGGUGCGUAGGCGGCCUAUUAAGAUAGUGGUGAAAACGUUCGGCUUAGCCGGAUACCCGCCAUUGAUACUGAUAGACUUGAGUGCGACAGAGGGUGUUGGAAUGUGAGGUGUAGCGGUGAAAUGCUUAGAUAUCACGCAGAACACCAAUUGCGAAGGCAGAUGCCUAUGUCGUAACUGACGCUGAGGCACGAAAGCGUGGGGAGCAAACAGG
This 253-nucleotide ribosomal RNA is filed under the name uncultured bacterium. Its description in RNAcentral is "partial 16S ribosomal RNA". It matches the Rfam family "Bacterial small subunit ribosomal RNA", at positions 524 to 776 of the family's 1533-position model. The record is from RNAcentral.